RNAcentral lists this small RNA (84 nucleotides) under Vibrio aerogenes. Its description in RNAcentral is "isrK Hfq binding RNA". It matches the Rfam family "isrK Hfq binding RNA". Lineage: Bacteria; Pseudomonadati; Pseudomonadota; Gammaproteobacteria; Vibrionales; Vibrionaceae. RNAcentral also lists the same sequence under 1 other name. The record is from RNAcentral.
UCACCGGCAAAAUCCGGUGACUGGGUUUGGUACCCCAGAUUACUACCGUACGACAUAUAAAUGUCAGCUUCGUGCUGAUUUUUU